RNAcentral lists this ribosomal RNA (439 nucleotides) under uncultured bacterium. RNAcentral's name for it is "partial 16S ribosomal RNA". It matches the Rfam family "Bacterial small subunit ribosomal RNA", at positions 339 to 795 of the family's 1533-position model. The record is from RNAcentral.
CUACGGGCCGCUGCAGUGGGGAAUAUUGCACAAUGGGGGAAACCCUGAUGCAGCGACGCCGCGUGAAGGAUGAAGGAUUUCGGUUCGUAAACUUCUAUCAGCAGGGAAGAUAGUGACUGUACCUGACUAAGAAGCCCCGGCUAACUACGUGCCAGCAGCCGCGGUAAUACGUAGGGGGCAAGCGUUAUCCGGAAUUACUGGGUGUAAAGGGUGCGUAGGCGGCUGAUUAAGCCAGAUGUGAAAGCCCGGGGCUCAACCUCGGGACUGCAUUUGGAACUGGUCGGCUAGAAUACAGGAGAGGUAAGUGGAAUUCCUAGUGUAGCGGUGAAAUGCGUAGAUAUUAGGAGGAACACCAGUGGCGAAGGCGACUUACUGGACUGUUAUUGACGCUGAGGCACGAAAGCGUGGGGAGCGAACAGGAUUAGAUACCCUUGUAGUC